UACAGAGGUCCCAAGCGUUGUUCGGAUUCACUGGGCGUAAAGGGUGCGUAGGUGGUGAGGUAAGUCGGAUGUGAAAGCUCGGAGCUCAACUCCGAAAUGGCAUUGGGAACUACCUUGCUCGAGGGUUGGAGGGGGGACUGGAAUGCUUGGUGUAGCAGUGAAAUGCGUAGAUAUCAAGCGGAACACCAGUGGCGAAGGCGAGUCCCUGGACAACUCCUGACACUGAGGCACGAAAGCUAGGGGAGCAAACAGG
Molecule: ribosomal RNA, 253 nt
Filed under: uncultured bacterium
Lineage: Bacteria
Description: partial 16S ribosomal RNA
Rfam family: Bacterial small subunit ribosomal RNA
Source: RNAcentral